GACGAACGCUGGCGGCGUGCUUAACACAUGCAAGUCGAACGGAAAGGCCCUGCUUUUGUGGGGUGCUCGAGUGGCGAACGGGUGAGUAACACGUGAGUAACCUGCCCUUGACUUUGGGAUAACUUCAGGAAACUGGGGCUAAUACCGGAUAGGAGCUCCUGCUGCAUGGUGGGGGUUGGAAAGUUUCGGCGGUUGGGGAUGGACUCGCGGCUUAUCAGCUGGUUGGUGGGGUAGUGGCUUACCAAGGCUUUGACGGGUAGCCGGCCUGAGAGGGUGACCGGCGACAUUGGGACUGAGAUACGGCCCAGACUCCUACGGGAGGCAGCAGUGGGGAAUAUUGCACAAUGAGCGGAAGCGUGAUACAGCAACGCCGCGUGCGGGAUGACGGCCUUCGGGUUGUAAACCGCUUUCGACUGUGACGAAGCGUGAGUGACAGUAAUGAGUAAAGAAGCACCGGCUAACUACGUG
This 468-nucleotide ribosomal RNA is filed under the name uncultured bacterium. Its description in RNAcentral is "partial 16S ribosomal RNA". It matches the Rfam family "Bacterial small subunit ribosomal RNA", at positions 28 to 507 of the family's 1533-position model. The record is from RNAcentral.